AAAUAUUGGGACAUAUAAAAAAAGACAACUCUGUUCCGCAGAGUAGCUGUUGACAUUAUAGUUGCACAGGCACUUUGUUGACUCUAGAGAACCUCGGGCCAAUCGCACAUCCCCGUGGCGGUGACUUUGCAUGCGGAUGUCAUCCAUAUCAACUUUUGAUGCCAGUUUCUGCGCCUACCAUGGUGACCAUGGGUAACAGGGAAUCAGGGUUCCAUUCCGUACAGGGACCCUGAGAAACCAUAUGCAAGGAAGGCAGUAGGCGUGCAAAUGACCCACUCCCGACGCAGGAAAGUAGUGAU
This is a non-coding RNA of Pelobates cultripes (western spadefoot toad), 299 nucleotides long. NCBI's taxonomy places the organism in Eukaryota, Metazoa, Chordata, Amphibia, Anura, Pelobatidae. The record is from the annotation of a GenBank genome assembly.